CUGGGGGAGCUCAGUGGUAGAGCAGGUGCCUGGCAUGCACAAGGCCCUGGGCUCUACCCCCACCCACCAAA
Molecule: transfer RNA, 71 nt
Filed under: Marmota marmota marmota (Alpine marmot)
Lineage: Eukaryota; Metazoa; Chordata; Mammalia; Rodentia; Sciuridae
Also listed under: 1 other name
Rfam family: tRNA
About the family: Transfer RNA (tRNA) molecules are approximately 80 nucleotides in length. Their secondary structure includes four short double-helical elements and three loops (D, anti-codon, and T loops).
Source: Rfam by way of RNAcentral